GAUUCUGGCUCAGGAUGAACGCUAGCUACAGGCUUAACACAUGCAAGUCGAGGGGCAGCAUUGGGAUAGCUUGCUAUUCAGAUGGCGACCGGCGCACGGGUGAGUAACGCGUAUCCAACCUUCCUGCCAGUAGGGAACAGCCCGGCGAAAGUCGGAUUAAUGCCCUAUGUUCUUCAAUGCGGACAUCUAAGUUGAAGGAAAGAUUCAUCGCUGGCAGAUGGGGAUGCGUCCGAUUAGCUUGCCGGCGGGGUAACGGCCCACCGGGGCGACGAUCGGUAGGGGUUCUGAGAGGAAGGUCCCCCACACUGGUACUGAGACACGGACCAGACUCCUACGGGAGGCAGCAGUGAGGAAUAUUGGUCAAUGGGCGUAAGCCUGAAAACCCAGCCAAGUAGCGUGCAGGAUGACGGCCCUACGGGUUGUAAACUGCUUUUAUAAGCGAGAAAUAUGAUGGUAACUUAUGAAUAAGGACCGGCUAACUACGUGCCAGCCGCGGC
Molecule: ribosomal RNA, 497 nt
Filed under: uncultured bacterium
Lineage: Bacteria
Description: bacterial SSU rRNA
Rfam family: Bacterial small subunit ribosomal RNA
Source: RNAcentral